This is a long non-coding RNA of Ctenopharyngodon idella (grass carp), 811 nucleotides long. RefSeq lists it as uncharacterized. The record is from RefSeq and is a predicted model, not a curated record. The transcript is spliced from 5 exons. Lineage: Eukaryota; Metazoa; Chordata; Actinopteri; Cypriniformes; Xenocyprididae.
UCCAAUGAGGUUCAUUCUCGUGUGUUAUGCAGCACAUUUGAGCUUCCACAAGAACCAAUGAGGUUCAUUCUCAUGUGUUACGCAGCACAUUUGAGCUUCCACAAGAACCAAUGAGGUUCAUUCUCAUGUGUUACGCUGCACGUUUGAGCUUCCACAAGAUCCAAUGAGGUUCAUUCUCAUGUGUUACGCAGCACGUUUGAGCUUCCACAAGAACCAAUGAGGUUCAUUCUCAUGUGUUACGCAGCAGGUUUGAGGUUCCAUAAGAUCCAAUGAGGUUCAUUCUCAUGUGUUACGCAGCACGUUUGAGCUUCCACAAGAACCAAUGAGGUUCAUUCUCAUGUGUUACGCAGCACAUUUGAGCUUCCACAAGAACCAAUGAGGUUCAUUCUCAUGUGUUACGCAGCACGUUUGAGCUUCCACAAGAACCAAUGAGGUUCAUUCUCAUGUGUUACGCAGCAGGUUUGAGCUUCCACAAGAUCCAAUGAGGUUCAUUCUCAUGUGUUACGCAGCACGUUUGAGCUUCCACAAGAACCAAUGAGGUUCAUUCUCAUGUGUUACGCAGCACGUUUGAGCUUCCACAAGAACCAAUGAGGUUCAUUCUCAUGUGUUACGCAGCAGGUUUGAGCUUCCACAAGAUCCAAUGAGGUUCAUUCUCAUGUGUUACGCAGCACGUUUGAGCUUCCACAAGAACCAAUGAGGUUCAUUCUCAUGUGUUACGCAGCAGGUUUGAGGUUCCAUAAGAUCCAAUGAGGUUCAUUCUCAUGUGUUACGCAGCACAUUUGAGCAUCUGCAAGAACCAAUGAGGUUCAUU